AAUGGUGGCAAUGCCACAGUGGACUGAUCAACCAACGAAUGCAAAAUUUGUCGCCGAUGUAUGGAAAGUUGGAGUUAGGGUAAAGGUGGAUGCAAAAGGAACCGUCAGAAAGGAAGAAAUAGAGAAAUGUCUAAGGCAAGUAAUGGAAGGAGAGACAGCAAAUGAGAUUAGAAAGAAUUCACAGAAUUGGAAGAAACUUGCUAAAGAGGCAGUGGAGGAAGGGGGAAGUUCUGACAAGAACAUUGAGAAAUUUGUAGAAGAACUCAAAUGCUCCUCCAAUGUUACUAAAUAGGAAAUAGUGAAACAAACACAAUAAGCUUGGCAUGUGGGUAAUUAAUAAGCUCUCCAUUGUGUGAGAAAAUAAUGUAAAAAUAUAUUGUAAUUAGGUAAAUUCUUGCGAUUGUGGAUCCAUGUAUGGUGGAAUUAUCUGUAAAAUAAGUAAAAUCCAUACAUUUAUGUGUUGGAUCCAUAAUAGAUCUGAUUAAUAUAAGUUUUUUCCUUUGUAACUAAAUCUAGCAAUCAAUUGUUGUCAAUAAAGUUGUGACUAGAUCACUUGAAAUGGAGGCAAAAGUCCAUGACUAGAAAGGCAAAAUUUU
RNAcentral lists this unclassified non-coding RNA (596 nucleotides) under Hevea brasiliensis (rubber tree). The record is from RNAcentral. Lineage: Eukaryota; Viridiplantae; Streptophyta; Magnoliopsida; Malpighiales; Euphorbiaceae.